CUGCCGCCGGCGACCGGCGCACGGGUGAGUAACACGUAUGCAACCUGGCCGUGACAGAUGGAUAACCGGGAGAAAUCCCGCCUAAUACAACAUAAUGCCGGGAGGGGACAUCCCCUGCCGGCCAAAGGGGGCGACCCCGGUCACGGAUGGGCAUGCGGCGCAUUAGUUAGUUGGCGGGGUAACGGCCCACCAAGACAACGAUGGAUAGGGGUUCUGAGAGGAAGGUCCCCCACAUUGGAACUGAGACACGGUCCAAACUCCUACGGAAGGCAGCAG
RNAcentral lists this ribosomal RNA (276 nucleotides) under uncultured bacterium. RNAcentral's name for it is "partial 16S ribosomal RNA". It matches the Rfam family "Bacterial small subunit ribosomal RNA", at positions 82 to 354 of the family's 1533-position model. The record is from RNAcentral.